RNAcentral lists this ribosomal RNA (345 nucleotides) under uncultured bacterium. RNAcentral's name for it is "partial 16S ribosomal RNA". It matches the Rfam family "Bacterial small subunit ribosomal RNA", at positions 356 to 713 of the family's 1533-position model. The record is from RNAcentral.
UGGGAAUAUUGGACAAUGGGCGGAAGCCUGAUCCAGCAACGCCGCGUGAGGGAUGACGGCCUUCGGGUUGUAAACCUCUUUCAGUACCGACGAAGCGGAAGUGACGGUAGGUACAGAAGAAGCACCGGCCAACUACGUGCCAGCAGCCGCGGUAAUACGUAGGGUGCGAGCGUUGUCCGGGAUUAUUGGGCGUAAAGGGCUCGUAGGCGGUUUGUCGCGUCGGGAGUGAAAACACUGGGCUUAACUCAGUGCUUGCUUCCGAUACGGGCAGACUAGAGGCAUGCAGGGGAGAACGGAAUUCCUGGUGUAGCGGUGAAAUGCGCAGAUAUCGAGAGACACGGUGCG